CAGUAGCCGCGGUAAUGCGUAGGGUGCAAGCGUUAAUCGGAAUUACUGGGCGUAAAGCGUGCGCAGGCGGUUAUGUAAGACAGUUGUGAAAUCCCCGGGCUCAACCUGGGAACUGCAUCUGUGACUGCAUAGCUAGAGUACGGUAGAGGGGGAUGGAAUUCCGCGUGUAGCAGUGAAAUGCGUAGAUAUACGGAGGAACACCGAUGGCGAAGGCAAUCCCCUGGACCUGUACUGACGCUCAUGCACGAAAGCGUGGGGAGCAAACAGGAUUAGAUACCCCCGUAGUCCCUGUCUCUUAUAC
This 301-nucleotide ribosomal RNA is filed under the name uncultured bacterium. RNAcentral's name for it is "partial 16S ribosomal RNA". It matches the Rfam family "Bacterial small subunit ribosomal RNA", at positions 509 to 807 of the family's 1533-position model. The record is from RNAcentral.